GAGUAAUGUCUGGGAAACUGCCUGAUGGAGGGGGAUAACUACUGGAAACGGUAGCUAAUACCGCAUAACGUCGCAAGACCAAAGAGGGGGACCUUCGGGCCUCUUGCCAUCGGAUGUGCCCAGAUGGGAUUAGCUUGUUGGUGGGGUAACGGCUCACCAAGGCGACGAUCCCUAGCUGGUCUGAGAGGAUGACCAGCCACACUGGAACUGAGACACGGUCCAGACUCCUACGGGAGGCAGCAGUGGGGAAUAUUGCACAAUGGGCGCAAGCCUGAUGCAGCCAUGCCGCGUGUAUGAAGAAGGCCUUCGGGUU
RNAcentral lists this ribosomal RNA (313 nucleotides) under Escherichia coli. Its description in RNAcentral is "bacterial SSU rRNA". It matches the Rfam family "Bacterial small subunit ribosomal RNA", at positions 108 to 424 of the family's 1533-position model. Lineage: Bacteria; Pseudomonadati; Pseudomonadota; Gammaproteobacteria; Enterobacterales; Enterobacteriaceae. RNAcentral also lists the same sequence under 1 other name. The record is from RNAcentral.